Molecule: ribosomal RNA, 681 nt
Filed under: Salmonella enterica subsp. enterica serovar Infantis
Lineage: Bacteria; Pseudomonadati; Pseudomonadota; Gammaproteobacteria; Enterobacterales; Enterobacteriaceae
Also listed under: 1 other name
Description: partial 23S ribosomal RNA
Rfam family: Bacterial large subunit ribosomal RNA
Source: RNAcentral
CAUUGAGCCUUGAUGUGUAGGAUAGGUGGGAGGCUUUGAAGCGUGGACGCCAGUCUGCGUGGAGCCGACCUUGAAAUACCACCCUUUAAUGUUUGAUGUUCUAACGUGGACCCGUAAUCCGGGUUGCGGACAGUGUCUGGUGGGUAGUUUGACUGGGGCGGUCUCCUCCUAAAGAGUAACGGAGGAGCACGAAGGUUGGCUAAUCCUGGUCGGACAUCAGGAGGUUAGUGCAAUGGCAUAAGCCAGCUUGACUGCGAGCGUGACGGCGCGAGCAGGUGCGAAAGCAGGUCAUAGUGAUCCGGUGGUUCUGAAUGGAAGGGCCAUCGCUCAACGGAUAAAAGGUACUCCGGGGAUAACAGGCUGAUACCGCCCAAGAGUUCAUAUCGACGGCGGUGUUUGGCACCUCGAUGUCGGCUCAUCACAUCCUGGGGCUGAAGUAGGUCCCAAGGGUAUGGCUGUUCGCCAUUUAAAGUGGUACGCGAGCUGGGUUUAGAACGUCGUGAGACAGUUCGGUCCCUAUCUGCCGUGGGCGCUGGAGAACUGAGGGGGGCUGCUCCUAGUACGAGAGGACCGGAGUGGACGCAUCACUGGUGUUCGGGUUGUCAUGCCAAUGGCACUGCCCGGUAGCUAAAUGCGGAAGAGAUAAGUGCUGAAAGCAUCUAAGCACGAAACUUGCCCCGA